This 484-nucleotide ribosomal RNA is filed under the name uncultured bacterium. Its description in RNAcentral is "partial 16S ribosomal RNA". It matches the Rfam family "Bacterial small subunit ribosomal RNA", at positions 30 to 507 of the family's 1533-position model. The record is from RNAcentral.
AUUGAACGCUGGCGGCAGGCCUAACACAUGCAAGUCGAGCGGAUGAAGGGAGCUUGCUCCUGGAUUCAGCGGCGGACGGGGGAGUAAUGCCUAGGAAUCUGCCUGGUAGUGGGGGAUAACGUCCGGAAACGGGCGCUAAUACCGCAUACGUCCUGAGGGAGAAAGUGGGGGAUCUUCGGAACUCACGCUAUCAGAGGAGCCUAGGCCGGAUUAGCUAGUUGGUGGGGUAAAGGCCUACCAAGGGGACGAUCCGUAACUGGUCUGAGGGGAUGAUCAGUCACACUGGAACUGGGACACCGUCCAGACUCCUACGGGAGGCCGCAGUGGGGAAUAUUGGACAAUGGGCGAAAGCAUGAUCCAGCCAUGCCGCGUGUGUGAAGAAGGUCUUCGGAUUGUAAAGCACUUUAAGUUGUGAGGAAGGGCAGUAAGUUAUUACCUUGCUGUUUUGACGUUACCAACAGAAUAAGCACCGGCUAACUUCGUG